Puma concolor (puma) is the source of this 106-nucleotide small nuclear RNA. NCBI's taxonomy places the organism in Eukaryota, Metazoa, Chordata, Mammalia, Carnivora, Felidae. The record is from RefSeq and is a predicted model, not a curated record.
GUGCUUGCUUCAGCAGCACAUAUACUAAAAAAUUGGAACGAUGCAGAGAUUAGCAUGGCCCCUGUGCAAGGAUGACACACAAAUUUGUGAAGCAUUCCAUAUUUCU